UAUAAAUGAUCUACAGUGAAACUGCGAAUGGCUCAUUAAAACAGUUAUAGUUUACUUGAUAAUGAAUCUUACAUGGAUAACCGUAGUAAAUCUAGGGCUAAUACAUGCGACCAAGCGGGACUUCACGGAACCGCUGUAUUUAUUAGUUACGAGUCAAUAUUCCUCUGGUCUAUGUGGUGAGUCAUAAUAACUGAUCGAAUCGCCGGGUCUCCGUGCGAUACAUCAUUCAAGUUUCUGCCCCAUCAGUUUGAUGGUAGUGUAUUGGACUACCAUGGCAUUAACGGGUAACGGAGAAUUAGGGUUCGAUUCCGGAGAGGGAGCCUGAGAAACGGCUACCACAUCUACGGAUGGCAGCAGGCGCGUAAAUUACCCAAUCCUGAUUCAGGGAGGUAGUGACAAGAAAUCACGGCGAGGAUGCACAGUCAUUUUCGAUUGUAAUGUAUGUAAUUUAAAUCUCUUAUUGAGGAGCAAUUGGAGGGCAAGUCUGGUGCCAGCAGCCGCGGUAAUUCCAGCUCCAAUAGCGUAUAUUAAAGUUGUUGCAGUUAAAAAGCUCGUAGUUGGAUUUCUGGAUGAGAUGCGGUGUUCAUCCUCUAAGGAAAGAGCUCGUGGUCUCGUUCAUCCUUCUGAUAACAGUUCCGGGUUUAGUUAUUCGGUUCUGCGAUUCAGAUAUUUUACCUUGAGAAAAUUAGAGUGUUUCAGGCAGGCUUGAGCCUUGAAUACAUUAGCAUGGAAUAAUAGAAAAGGACUUCUGUCUAUUUGUUGGUCUCGGAGACAGAAUUAAUGAUUAAUAGGGACAGUUGGGGGCAUUAGUAUUUAAUUGUCAGAGGUGAAAUUCUUUGAUUUAUUAAAGACUAACUUGUGCGAAAGCAUUUGCCAAGGAUGUUUUCAUUAAUCAAGAACGAAAGUUAGGGGAUCAAAGACGAUCAGAUACCGUCCUAAUCUUAACCAUAAACUAUGCCGACUAAGGAUUGGAGGACGAAAAAAGUUUCUCCUUCUCCACCUUACGAGAAAUCAAAGUCUUUGGGUUCUGGGGGGAGUAUGGGCGCAAGGCUGAAACUUAAAGGAAUUGACGGAAGGGCACCACCAGGAGUGGAGCUUGCGGCUUAAUUUGACUCAACACGGGAAAACUUACCAGGUCCAGACACGCGUAAGAUUGACAGGUUGAUAGUCCUUUCUUGAUUGCUUGGGUGGGGGGGCAUGGGCGUUCUUAGUUGGUGGAGUGAUUUGUCAGGUUAAUUCCGUUAACGAACGAGACCUUAACCUACUAAUUAGUUUUUCUUGCCGAGGCAAGCUACAACUUCUUAUAGGGACAGAACACAAAAUCUUAGGAGGUUUGAGGCAAUAACAGGUCUGUGAUGCCCUUACAUGUCCUGGGCCGCACGCGUGCUACACUGAUGCAUACAACGAGUAAUACCUUGCUCCGACAGGAAGCGAGUAAUCUAUAAUAUGCAUCGUGAUGGGGAUAGAUCUUUGUAAUUAUGGAUCUUGAACGAGGAAUUCCUAGUAAGCGCAAGUCAUUAGCUUGCGUUGAUUAAGUCCCUGCCCUUUGUACACACCGCCCGUCGCUCCUACCGAUCGGGUGAUCCGGUGAACCUUUUGGACCAUUAUUAUGGGAAAUUAAGUAAGCCUUGUCACUUAGAGGAAGGAGAAGUCGUAACAAGGUUUCCGUAGGUGAACCUGCGGAAGGAUCAUUU
This 1694-nucleotide ribosomal RNA is filed under the name Caryotricha marina. RNAcentral describes it as "SSU rRNA". It matches the Rfam family "Eukaryotic small subunit ribosomal RNA". The record is from RNAcentral. Lineage: Eukaryota; Ciliophora; Spirotrichea; Kiitrichida; Kiitrichidae.